RNAcentral lists this ribosomal RNA (1019 nucleotides) under uncultured bacterium. Its description in RNAcentral is "bacterial SSU rRNA". It matches the Rfam family "Bacterial small subunit ribosomal RNA", at positions 355 to 1375 of the family's 1533-position model. The record is from RNAcentral.
UAGGGAAUUUUCGUCCAUGGGGGGAACCCUGAACGAGCAAUGCCGCGUGAGUGAGGAAGGUCUUCGGAUCGUAAAGCUCUGUUGUAAGAGAAAAACGGCACUCAUAGGGAAUGAUGAGUGAGUGAUGGUAUCUUACCAGAAAGUCACGGCUAACUACGUGCCAGCAGCCGCGGUAAUACGUAGGUGGCGAGCGUUAUCCGGAAUGAUUGGGCGUAAAGGGUGCGUAGGUGGCAGAUCAAGUCUGGAGUAAAAGGUAUGGGCUCAACCCGUACUGGCUCUGGAAACUGAUCAGCUAGAGAACAGAAGAGGACGGCGGAACUCCAUGUGUAGCGGUAAAAUGCGUAGAUAUAUGGAAGAACACCGGUGGCGAAGGCGGCCGUCUGGUCUGGAUUCUGACACUGAAGCACGAAAGCGUGGGGAGCAAAUAGGAUUAGAUACCCUAGUAGUCCACGCCGUAAACGAUGAGAACUAGGUGUUGGGGGGAAUAACUCAGUGCCGCAGUUAACGCAGUAAGUUCUCCGCCUGGGGAGUAUGCACGCAAGUGUGAAACUCAAAGGAAUUGACGGGGGCCCGCACAAGCGGUGGAGUAUGUGGUUUAAUUCGAAGCAACGCGAAGAACCUUACCAGGCCUUGACAUCCCUUGCAGAGGUAUAGAGAUAUAUCCGAGGUUAUCAAGGAGACAGGUGGUGCAUGGUUGUCGUCAGCUCGUGUCGUGAGAUGUUGGGUUAAGUCCCGCAACGAGCGCAACCCUUGUGAUAUGUUACUAACAUUGAGUUGAGGACUCAUAUCAGACUGCCGGUGAUAAACCGGAGGAAGGUGGGGAUGACGUCAAAUCAUCAUGCCCCUUAUGGCCUGGGCUACACACGUACUACAAUGGCGUCUACAAAGAGCGGCAAGCCUGUGAAGGCAAGCGAAUCUCAUAAAGGACGUCUCAGUUCGGAUUGAAGUCUGCAACCCGACUUCAUGAAGCUGGAAUCGCUAGUAAUCGCGAAUCAGCAUGUCGCGGUGAAUACGUUCUC